This 433-nucleotide ribosomal RNA is filed under the name uncultured bacterium. Its description in RNAcentral is "partial 16S ribosomal RNA". It matches the Rfam family "Bacterial small subunit ribosomal RNA", at positions 29 to 507 of the family's 1533-position model. The record is from RNAcentral.
AGCGAACGCUGGCGGCAGGCUUAACACAUGCAAGUCGAACGGGCACUUCGGUGCUAGUGGCAGACGGGUGAGUAACACGUGGGAACGUACCUUUCGGUUCGGAAUAAUCCAGGGAAACUUGGACUAAUACCGGAUACGCCCUUCGGGGGAAAGAUUCAUCGCCGAUAGAUCGGCCCGCGUCUGAUUAGCUAGUUGGUGAGGUAAUGGCUCACCAAGGCGACGAUCAGUAGCUGGUCUGAGAGGAUGAUCAGCCACAUUGGGACUGAGACACGGCCCAAACUCCUACGGGAGGCAGCAGUGGGGAAUAUUGGACAAUGGGCGCAAGCCUGAUCCAGCCAUGCCGCGUGAGUGAUGAAGGCCUUAGGGUUGUAAAGCUCUUUUGUCCGGGAAGAUAAUGACUUUACCGGAAGAAUAAGCCCCGGCUAACUUCGUG